GAUGAACGCUGGUGGCGUGCCUAACACAUGCAAGUCGAGCGAUUCUCUUCGGAGAAGAGCGGCGGACGGGUGAGUAACGCGUGGGUAACCUGCCCUGUACACACGGAUAACAUACCGAAAGGUAUGCUAAUACGAGAUAACAUGCUUUUAUCGCAUGGUAGAAGUAUCAAAGCUUUUGCGGUACAGGAUGGACCCGCGUCUGAUUAGCUAGUUGGUGAGGUAACGGCUCACCAAGGCGACGAUCAGUAGCCGACCUGAGAGGGUGAUCGGCCACAUUGGAACUGAGACACGGUCCAAACUCCUACGGGAGGCAGCAGUGGGGAAUAUUGCACAAUGGGCGAAAGCCUGAUGCAGCAACGCCGCGUGAGCGAUGAAGGCCUUCGGGUCGUAAAGCUCUGUCCUCAAGGAAGAUAAUGACGGUACUUGAGGAGGAAGCCCCGUCUAACUACGUG
Molecule: ribosomal RNA, 452 nt
Filed under: uncultured bacterium
Lineage: Bacteria
Description: partial 16S ribosomal RNA
Rfam family: Bacterial small subunit ribosomal RNA
Source: RNAcentral